AGCGAACGCUGGCGGCAGGCUUAACACAUGCAAGUCGAGCGCCCGUAGCAAUACGGGAGCGGCAGACGGGAGAGUAACACGUGGGAACAUGCCCUUCGGUUCGGAAUAACUCAGGGAAACUUGAGCUAAUACCGGAUACGUCCGUAAGGAGAAAGAUUUAUCGCCGAAGGAUUGGCCCGCGUCCGAUUAGCUUGUUGGUGAGGUAACGGCUCACCAAGGCGACGAUCGGUAGCGGUCUGAGAGGAUGAUCAGCCUCACUGGGACUGAGACACGGCCCAGACUCCUACGGGAGGCAGCAGUGGGGAAUAUUGGACAAUGGGCGAAAGCCUGAUCCAGCCAUGCCGCGUGGGUGAUGAAGGCCUUAGGGUUGUAAAGCCCUUU
This 381-nucleotide ribosomal RNA is filed under the name uncultured bacterium. RNAcentral describes it as "bacterial SSU rRNA". It matches the Rfam family "Bacterial small subunit ribosomal RNA", at positions 29 to 436 of the family's 1533-position model. The record is from RNAcentral.